UCCCGUCGAGACAGGGAAAGAAAAGAGUGAGGGUUUGGAAGCCAUAGGAGAAAAAUCAUAAUUUCCUUGAUUCUCAAUCGUUUUUCUUGAUUCCGAAGCCUAAAUCACUCUAAAUCUUCUCCUCUUUCAUAAUCCAAGCUUAGUUUUGAGUGGGAGGCUUUGUGGAGAGAGAUUUCACUCUCCAAAAUUUCAACCCAUAUGAAAAGUGGAGGAGUUUGGUAGCUUUUACCUCCAUGGGAGCUUGAGGAACACCCAUCCUAUUGUUGUGUGAUCAUCUGUGAUACGUUUUCACUCUCUUUCACAUGAUUCCUUAAGAUUUUCAUGAGUUUAGGUUAUGGUGAAUAGUGUUGUUAGGGUUUUAUGAUAACGUGAGUAGAUUGGCUAUAUUCUAAGAGCAAUGAAGCUUGGUGUAUGUUGUGAAAAAUGCUAGGAAUGAUAUUUAAUCGGUGAAAAUGAGUUUAGAUGGUCAUAUGAUUAUGCUUUGAAAAUUGCAAGAUUAUAUACUUGAUUGUGAAUUUGCUUGCAUUGGUAAACAACGGGUUGGUUUGGUGGGAUAUUGAUUGUGUUUCAUGUGAUGGCUAGGAUUGAGGCAAUUGGACCACCCUUGAGUGACCAACCAUUGGAGGGAGCUAUGGAGCUUGAUUAGCUCAUUGGAAUAGGUGGUUGUGUGUGAAGUUGAUUAUUGUAAUUGGUGGCAAAACUUGUUGGUGAACAAAGGUUGAACUGAAGCUUUGAGGUAAAGAUGUUGCAGGAGCCUCCGGUGGCAAGUGGCCAUAUUUGGAUUAGUAGAUGCAUGAAGAUGUUGCAUUCUUUUGGAUUAUACAUGACAUGUAGUAGUACCAUGUAUAGGAUUUACAUUUGAAAGCCAAUUGCUAUAUGUAUGUCAUCUUCUAUUUUGAUGGACUUAGCCUAUGCUUAUCUUCUUUGGUAUCUCUUUUGUUGAUGGGAACUAAAGAUUUGAUCAUAGUGUUUUGUAGCUAAGUCACAUGAUUUUGUAAUUAAGACAUGUUGCAAUGAUGUAAUGUUGUAAU
This is a long non-coding RNA of Gastrolobium bilobum, 1031 nucleotides long. RefSeq lists it as uncharacterized. The transcript is spliced from 3 exons. The record is from RefSeq and is a predicted model, not a curated record. NCBI's taxonomy places the organism in Eukaryota, Viridiplantae, Streptophyta, Magnoliopsida, Fabales, Fabaceae.